Molecule: ribosomal RNA, 369 nt
Filed under: Diastylis tumida
Lineage: Eukaryota; Metazoa; Arthropoda; Malacostraca; Cumacea; Diastylidae
Description: partial large subunit ribosomal RNA
Rfam family: Eukaryotic large subunit ribosomal RNA
Source: RNAcentral
CACGGAUCGAGGAGUCUAACUCGUACGCGAGUCCUCCGAGCUGCACACGAAGCUCUCGAGGCUCAACGAAAGUAAACGAAGUCGCGAAGCGCCUCGCGCGCUUCGCGGUGGCAAAUCCGGGAUGAGCGCGAGCGGCGCCGCGCGCGUCGCUCCGCUUUGCGUAUUCCGGCGCACGCCAGGGGCCCGUCCACAUUCGGAUUCGAACGACGCGUUCGCCUCGCGGGGCGAGCGCCUCUCGUCGAAACGAGGACGGGCACUCCGAGCGCGCGCGUUAGUACCCGAAAGAUGGUGAUCUAUGCUUGUUUAGGACGAAGCCGGGGGAAACACCGGUGGAGGUUCGUAGCGAUUCUGACGUGCAAAUCGAUCGUC